RNAcentral lists this ribosomal RNA (207 nucleotides) under uncultured bacterium. RNAcentral's name for it is "partial 16S ribosomal RNA". It matches the Rfam family "Bacterial small subunit ribosomal RNA", at positions 568 to 774 of the family's 1533-position model. The record is from RNAcentral.
UGCGUAGGCGGCUUGGUAAGUCAGAUGUGAAAUCCUGGGGCUCAACUUCGGAACUGCAUUUGAUACUGCCAGGCUAGAGUACUGGAGAGGAGACUGGAAUUUACGGUGUAGCAGUGAAAUGCGUAGAUAUCGUAAGGAAGGCCAGUGGCGAAGGCGAGUCUCUGGACAGUAACUGACGCUGAGGCACGAAGGCUAGGGGAGCAAACG